UAACUAUAACGGUCCUAAGGUAGCGAAAUUCCUUGUCGGGUAAGUUCCGACCUGCACGAAUGGCGUAAUGAUGGCCAGGCUGUCUCCACCCGAGACUCAGUGAAAUUGAACUCGCUGUGAAGAUGCAGUGUACCCGCGGCAAGACGGAAAGACCCCGUGAACCUUUACUAUAGCUUGACACUGAACAUUGAGCCUUGAUGUGUAGGAUAGGUGGGAGGCUUUGAAGCGUGGACGCCAGUCUGCGUGGAGCCAACCUUGAAAUACCACCCUUUAAUGUUUGAUGUUCUAACGUUGGCCCGUAAUCCGGGUUGCGGACAGUGUCUGGUGGGUAGUUUGACUGGGGCGGUCUCCUCCCAAAGAGUAACGGAGGAGCACGAAGGUUAGCUAAUCCUGGUCGGACAUCAGGAGGUUAGUGCAAUGGCAUAAGCUAGCUUGACUGCGAGCGUGACGGCGCGAGCAGGUGCGAAAGCAGGUCAUAGUGAUCCGGUGGUUCUGAAUGGAAGGGCCAUCGCUCAACGGAUAAAAGGUACUCCGGGGAUAACAGGCUGAUACCGCCCAAGAGUUCAUAUCGACGGCGGUGUUUGGCACCUCGAUGUC
This 597-nucleotide ribosomal RNA is filed under the name Klebsiella pneumoniae subsp. pneumoniae. Its description in RNAcentral is "bacterial LSU rRNA". It matches the Rfam family "Bacterial large subunit ribosomal RNA", at positions 1937 to 2533 of the family's 2925-position model. Lineage: Bacteria; Pseudomonadati; Pseudomonadota; Gammaproteobacteria; Enterobacterales; Enterobacteriaceae. The record is from RNAcentral.